RNAcentral lists this unclassified non-coding RNA (503 nucleotides) under Hevea brasiliensis (rubber tree). The record is from RNAcentral. Lineage: Eukaryota; Viridiplantae; Streptophyta; Magnoliopsida; Malpighiales; Euphorbiaceae.
GAAGAUUUGGAGCAUUGUGCUCUACAAUCUAAAGAUCUAGUGCAAACAGACUACAAUGAAGAUAGAGUUGAAGAGUCAAGUUGCAGCAUAGAAAGGCCAGAACUGAGUGAUGCUGCAAGUAGAGAUGGAAGCCAAGCUCCAUUUUCAGAACCUUCCAGUCCUCAUAACAAUGCAUCAGUUUGUAGCGAAUGGAUGAGUGAUCCUGUUAACGUGGGCCCAUCAAAUUUAAAGAUUCCCAGGUCUCCUAAUCAGCAACAUUCAACUCUAAAUGAUGCUAAUUUUGUGGAAAAUUACUUUAAGCAUUCGAGGUUGCAUUUCAUUGGCACCUGGAGAAACCGGUAUCGUAAACGAUUUCCUAGUUCCCCUGGUGGGUUUAGAUGCACAAGUUCAGGACCUAGUUCUUCAGCAACAGCAAAUAAGACAAUGAUUAUUCAUGUGGAUAUGGAUUGCUUUUUUGUGUCUGUGGUCAUUAGGAAUCGCCCCGAGUUGAAGGAUAAACCUGU